GAACGCUGGCGGCGUGCCUAAUACCUGCAAGUCGAGCGAACGGACGAGAAGCUUGCUUCUCUGAUGUUAGCGGCGGACGGGUGAGUAACACGUGGAUAACCUACCUAUAAGACUGGGAUAACUUCGGGAAACCGGAGCUAAUACCGGAUGAUAUUUUGAACCGCAUGGUUCACAAGUGAAAGACGGUCUUGCUGUCACUUAUAGAUGGAUCCGCGCUGCAUUAGCUAGUUGGUAAGGUAACGGCUUACCAAGGCAACGAUGCAUAGCCAACCUGAGAGGGUGAUCGGCCACACUGGAACUGAGACACGGUCCAGACUCCUACGGGAGGCAGCAGUAGGGAAUCUUCCGCAAUGGGCGAAAGCCUGACGGAGCAACGCCGCGUGAGUGAUGAAGGUCUUCGGAUCGUAAAACUCUGUUAUUAGGGAAGAACAUAUGUGUAAGUAACUGUGCACAUCUUGACGGUACCUAAUCAGAAAGCCACGGCUAACUACGUG
RNAcentral lists this ribosomal RNA (494 nucleotides) under uncultured bacterium. Its description in RNAcentral is "partial 16S ribosomal RNA". It matches the Rfam family "Bacterial small subunit ribosomal RNA", at positions 31 to 507 of the family's 1533-position model. The record is from RNAcentral.